CGGGGCGCUCAGACCCGCCGUGUCCCCCAGGCGCUGAGCUGCCCCUUGCGAGCGCUUUGUUGUCCCCGCCUAGCGCACAAUGAACUCUCUGCUCCUCCCCCUGCUCCUCCUGGCUCUGGCCCCGGGUGUCCUGUCCCAGCUCCGGCUCCAGGAGUCCGGCCCCGGGGUGGUGAAGCCCGGAGAGACCCUCACGCUCACCUGCACCGUCACCGGGGGCACCGUCACCAGCAGCUACUACUGGGACUGGGUACGGCAGGCUCCGGGCCAAGGGCUGGAGUGGAUGGGAUACUGGACCGGGGGCACAAGCUACAACCCGUCUCUCCAAGGCCGAAUCACCAUCACCGUGGAUUCUUCCAACACCAAGUAUUAUCUGCGGCUGGGCUCGCUGACAGCUGCAGACACCGGCACCUAUUACUGCGCCAGACACAGUGACCCGGAGCACAGCAGGGACCUGUACAAAAAGGGGAAGCGGAUUCAAAGCAGAGCAGAGAGGCCAGUUCAGCAGGGAGUGCUGAGUGCAGACCCGUCCCCUGCACACACACGGACCCUGGCAGCCGCUGGUCAGUCUCCGGGGCGGAACCAGCCUUCCUCUCCCUGCAGCGGCGGUUCCGUCCUCAUCCGGCCCUCCCGGGAGAGACCCACAGCUCGGGACAUCUCCUGGGCAUGGUCUGGAUCCAUGGCAGGUGCCCGGCGCGUGCUGGAGUAG
Caretta caretta (loggerhead turtle) is the source of this 706-nucleotide non-coding RNA. NCBI's taxonomy places the organism in Eukaryota, Metazoa, Chordata, Testudines, Cheloniidae. The record is from the annotation of a RefSeq genome assembly.